GUGUGUGUGUGUGUGUGUGUGUAAUAAAAAAAUAUAAUAAAUAUAUUGUUUCCCUCAUAAUCGUAAAAAUAUAAUUUCAAUGUUGUGACAAAAUAAAAGGUCAGAAUCUAGGUGAUGAGAUCAUAAAGUAUGGACACUGAUGUUUGCAAAGGGUCAGAAACUCUGACAGAGUAAACAAUUUUUUAAUGAUUUUAUUGUAAUUUGUAAAUUUAUUUGCAUUAUAGAUAUAUUUAAUGCAGAAAAUUCUAAUUUAUAUAACUUUUAAUUAUAUUUAUAUUUAAAACUGCUUUCACAAAUAUAUAAAGAAUAAUUAUUCUUGCUACUCUUAAACGAUCAUAAAGUGGGCCACUUACCUUAAUGCAUAAAAGAAUAAAUCAGAAUCUCGUAUUUUCUUAUGCAUUAUAAAAAAAUCUGUGUCCAGGCCUUUAAUGAUAAGUUGAUGUUUUUUUAUACUUGUUUCUAAGUCUCUGUUCUUGUACGCUUAACCGCAAUUGUUCAUUUCAUAGUUCGGUUACUUAGAAUCAUCUAAUUUAUUUUUUCCCUUUUUUAUUAUCUUAAUUUCUUAGAAAGUGUAACAUUGCCACACUUACACAGAAUAAAACUUGAAUUUUUCCUGACAUCGUUAACGUAAAGAAUAUCACUUUAUUAUUAAAUUUUUCAUUACUUUACUAAUGUAUUAAUAAUUUCCCAAUUCUUUAACACUUCUUUUUAUAUAUUUGUUUAUCAUUUUUAUCGAUCAAUCUCUUUCAACUAACAAUAUUGUGUGCUUUCCAAUACAAAUUUUGAGGUAAUACUUGAUAUUUUACCUUUAUUUUAUUUUUUAAUUUUGUAAUGGAUAAUUUUUUAUUGUAAUUAAAUCUGUUUACUUAUAUCAUAUUCUUAUUAUGCAAUUGUACUAUUCUGAGAUAUGUGAAAUAGCAUUGAUAUUUAUGCAAUCUUUAUGAACUUGUACAUCUGAUAAAAAUCAGAAAAUUUGGUUGAGAUGUUAUGUCCUUUUAUUUUUAAUAAAGAUUUACCAAAUUAAUAAUUGCUUAAGAACUUAUGUGAUCAUUCAUUUGUUGGCAAUGCAACAUAAAUUAUUUUAUUAUUUUAAAGUUAUUAUCUUAAUAUAUUCUCUGGACAAUCAUUUCACUGAUUAUUCAACAAUUAAUGUUAUGAUCCUGCUUACAGAAGCUUGAGACACAUUCCAGGAAUUUUUCUACGGACAAAAACAACUAUCAAUCUUUCAUUUACAUCACGUUUUUGUAGUUAAAUGAAUUAGAUUAAUAGCUAGUAGCAUCUACCGCAAGAAGACUUAAAAAUAGAACCAGGAUACGAUUCUCAUAUAACAUUAUGCAUAUAUAGCACAAAGAACACUCUUAGGACGAAUGUCCUAAAACAUUCCACUAUACUAUAAAUAUUUUCAAGAAAUCUGUUCUGUACGAGCUAGCGGAAAAAGAUUGCGCAAAUUUUUAUCUCGCUAGGUUAUGGACAUCAGUCUCGAUGUGAAUGCGGUAUAAGUUCUAAUAAACGGAUGGCAUAUCAAGAAUAAAAACAAUCCGCCUGACGCGCAUGCAACAACAAAUUACCAGGUCGUGCUUUCGUGGCCUCGGCUUCAGGUUGUACGCGAGCUGUCCACGUCCGUCGUAGUUCUGGUGGUCACUCAACAACUCGCGCAAUGGAAACGCGUUAUCGCGUUCUAGCAAUGUCACCGUGGCCACAGCAAAUAUCCGAUGUAAAAACGACCCGUGUUUCGAAACACAAUGUGGAUGGAAAUGACAAUGCCUAUUUACGAAACGACACUUAAACGCCCCGUCGAAACGCCGGUGCAAUAUUUAUUGACAGAAUGCGAGUGAAAAGAUGAAGAAAGUUGUAAGAAUGAUAAAAAGAUAUAAAGUCCACGUAAUUUAAGUCUAAAGAGCCGAGUUUAAAAUUAACAUAAGUCAUUGGUCCAAACUAAAGACAUGAUUAAGUUACAUUUAGGUUAAGUUGCAGCAAAGUAUAAAUAAAAUGUAGCACCAAAAAGACCAAUAAAUCAUCUAUUCUAUUCUAUUAA
Molecule: long non-coding RNA, 2035 nt
Filed under: Monomorium pharaonis (pharaoh ant)
Lineage: Eukaryota; Metazoa; Arthropoda; Insecta; Hymenoptera; Formicidae
Description: uncharacterized LOC118644848
Source: RNAcentral